GUGCUCACUUCGGCAGCACAUAUACUAAAAUUGGAACAAUACAGAGAAUAUUAGCAUGGACCCUGCGCCAGGAUGAUGCACAAAUUUGUGAAGCAUUCCAUAUUUGU
Small nuclear RNA from Lynx canadensis (Canada lynx), 107 nucleotides. NCBI's taxonomy places the organism in Eukaryota, Metazoa, Chordata, Mammalia, Carnivora, Felidae. The record is from Ensembl.